RNAcentral lists this unclassified non-coding RNA (409 nucleotides) under Hevea brasiliensis (rubber tree). The record is from RNAcentral. Lineage: Eukaryota; Viridiplantae; Streptophyta; Magnoliopsida; Malpighiales; Euphorbiaceae.
UUUCCUUCUACUCCCAGUUUGAAGAAAUAUUCAGCAGCUGAAGCCAGCUUUGGGACCUCCGCGACUACCAUUGAUCUCAGCCUGUUUGUCAGAAGGGAUAAUUCAUCUGCAACAAGGGAAAAUGGGUCCACUUGCUCCUCUGCUACAGCAGUGCUUUGCUGAUGAAUUUGUUGCCCAAUACCACUAAGAGCAUUAGAAACCCAUGAAUGAAUUACUCUGCAACCCAGAACCUUUGGAGGAUCGUGGAUGUGAUUGGAUUGAUGUAAUUGUGGGAUGGGACGUAAUGAAAAUAACCAUCGGCAUCUGCUGAAGCGGUUUCUGGAAAUCUGAGCUAAACCCUUUGAAAAUAUCAUCGUUCGUAUUCAAUUUCUAUUUUGUGUGUGUGUGUACGCUGACUGCUGAGUUUGAG